RNAcentral lists this ribosomal RNA (365 nucleotides) under uncultured eukaryote. RNAcentral's name for it is "partial 18S ribosomal RNA". It matches the Rfam family "Eukaryotic small subunit ribosomal RNA", at positions 592 to 976 of the family's 1831-position model. The record is from RNAcentral.
CAGUAGCGUAUAUUUAAGUUGUUGCAGUUAAAAAGCUCGUAGUCGGAUUUUGGCUGAGAACGAUCGGUCCGCCGUUAGGUGUGCACUGAUUGGUCUCAGCUUCCUGGUGAGGAGGUGUGCUUCACGGCCACUUAGUCACCGUGGUUACUUUGAAAAAAUUAGAGUGUUCAAAGCGGGCUUACGCUUGAAUAUAUUAGCAUGGAAUAACACCAUAGGACUCCUGUCCUAUUUCGUUGGUCUCGGGACGGGAGUAAUGAUUAAGAGGGACAGUCGGGGGCAUUCGUAUUUCAUUGUCAGAGGUGAAAUUCUUGGAUUUAUGAAAGACGAACUACUGCGAAAGCAUUUGCCAAGGAUGUUUUCAUUAA